AAUGGGAUAGCUGGGUCAAAUGGUCAUUCCAUUUCAAGUUUUCUAAGGAAUCCCCAUACUGCUUUCCAGAUUGGUUGCACCAGUUUUCAGUCCCACUAGCAAU
This 103-nucleotide microRNA precursor is filed under the name Marmota monax (woodchuck). The record is from RNAcentral. Lineage: Eukaryota; Metazoa; Chordata; Mammalia; Rodentia; Sciuridae.